RNAcentral lists this ribosomal RNA (184 nucleotides) under uncultured bacterium. Its description in RNAcentral is "partial 16S ribosomal RNA". It matches the Rfam family "Bacterial small subunit ribosomal RNA", at positions 592 to 775 of the family's 1533-position model. The record is from RNAcentral.
AUGUGAAAGCCUUCAGCUUAACCGGAGUAGUGCAUUGGAAACUGGGAGACUGGAGUGAGGAAGAGGGGAGUGGAACUCCAUGUGUAGCGGUGAAAUGCGUAGAUAUAUGGAAGAACACCAGUGGCGAAAGCGGCUCUCUGGUCUGUAACUGACACUGAGGUUCGAAAGCGUGGGUAGCAAACAG